UGCAGCCUUGUCAAAUUUAGUGUUUACUUCUCAGUAGAUCACACUGGCCAAAAUGGCUGCCACAGUACAUUUUUAGUCCUCGAGCCUCAUGAUCUUGCCUUGUGGCUAUUGUGGAUAGAAGUGGCUAUAUACAGUU
Molecule: small nucleolar RNA, 136 nt
Organism: Danio rerio (zebrafish)
Lineage: Eukaryota; Metazoa; Chordata; Actinopteri; Cypriniformes; Danionidae
Source: Ensembl